CAAGGCGAUGAUACGUAGCCGACCUGAGAGGGUGAUCGGCCACAWUGGGACUGAGACACGGYCCAWACUCCUACGGGAGGCAGCAGUAGGGAAUCUUCCACAAUGGACGAAAGUCUGAUGGAGCAACGCCGCGUGAGUGAAGAAGGUUUUCGGAUCGUAAAACUCUGUUGUUGGAGAAGAACGUACGUGAGAGUAACUGUUCACGUAGUGACGGUAUUCAACCAGAAAGCCACGGCUAACUACGUGCCAGCAGCCGCGGUAAUACGUAGGUGGCAAGCGUUAUCCGGAUUUAUUGGGCGUAAAGCGAGCGCAGGCGGUUUUUUAAGUCUGAUGUGAAAGCCCUCGGCUCAACCGAGGAAGUGCAUCGGAAACUGGGAAACUUGAGUGCAGAAGAGGACAGUGGAACUCCAUGUGUAGCGGUGGAAUGCGUAGAUAUAUGGAAGAACACCAGUGGCGAAGGCGGCUGUCUGGUCUGUAACUGACGCUGAGGCUCGAAAGCAUGGGUAGCGAACAGGAUUAGAUACCCUGGUAGUCCAUGCCGUAAACGAUGAAUGCUAAGUGUUGGAGGGUUUCCGCCCUUCAGU
Molecule: ribosomal RNA, 584 nt
Filed under: Lactobacillus sp.
Lineage: Bacteria; Bacillati; Bacillota; Bacilli; Lactobacillales; Lactobacillaceae
Description: bacterial SSU rRNA
Rfam family: Bacterial small subunit ribosomal RNA
Source: RNAcentral